Molecule: long non-coding RNA, 227 nt
Filed under: Carica papaya (papaya)
Lineage: Eukaryota; Viridiplantae; Streptophyta; Magnoliopsida; Brassicales; Caricaceae
Description: long non-coding RNA (CPAP_LNC009635)
Source: RNAcentral
ACAAAUGGUAUAAAUAAACCCCCCACACCUGACCACAAAAACCCUAGCCGCCAGCCCUCGCCGAAGAAGACGAACCAGAUGCCAGAGGAGCCGGCCGCCGCCACCCGCCGCUGCACCGGGGAGUUUUCUGACCGCCGAUCGAGGUAAAUUUCAUACCUCCAGCUCGUUUUUCAAUGCUGAGUUCCCCUGUGGCCAAAUCGGAGCCAAACUCUCGGCCAAACGGCCGG